AGGCAGUAAAUAAUUCAUGUUGAGAUGGCAGAAAUGAACGUUCUCACUGGAUAAAUCGUUAUUCAUGCUUUUUUUGUGAUGCAUGUAAGUAAUUGUAACGCCCGUGAACCGGAAAAUCGGUUAGGAUUUGUAUUUAAAUUGUCCGGUUUAAUCGAUUGGAUUAAUUGGAAACCUUAGAGUGUGCCUGUAAAAGAAGAAAACUCGAAAUUAGGGUUUUAUUUAGCCAUUUUUCGUUUUAUAAAGGAGAAAAAGAGAGAGAAGGAGAAAAACUAGAAUUGUUAGGGUUUUGGAGGAAAUGUUUUCGACAAAUCAAAUCGUUGUCAAAGGUAACGAAAUUUGGUAGGGUUAUUCCCAAGUUUUUUUAUUGUUAUUCUCCAGUUUACAGAAGUGGUUUUGGAUUAAAAUUGGUUGAGUUAUUCUCAGUUUCGUGAGACAUGUUUUCUCAGACGCGAAUUAGGAGCAGCGGGGAUUGUAACUGCGAUCGUAGUCUCAUCUUGUUUCCGAUCGGCAAGAGUUUUUGUGGGAGCUUUUUGACGUCUAAGGAUAGCGUUUCCCCAGAGGGAUUUAAUAGUUAACGGGUAGUUUGUAUUUUAGGGUUCGUCUUUGAGACUGUUUGUUUUUGUUUUUCAUGUCCAGUUUGCUUCAAAGGUUGCUUUUGGUUGUGACAUGUUGUAGGACGUUUCUGAACUGUUUCAGACGCAAGGAGAGUCUCUCCUGUGUUUAAUUGUUGUUAGAAUCAAUUUGUUAAGGUGAGUGCGUGACCAUGAGCUUAUCUGAGCGAUUGGGUUGUAUGUUUUGUUUUGUAUGAUGAUAUGUAUGUGUGGUAAAUGUGUUUUGAGUGAAUUGUUCGAUGACUGGUUUGUUUGUGUUGUAUUUGUGAUUAUACCCUUUUAUUUGCUUGUGUGUAUAGCUCGUAGAUGGGAGGAUCGCCUCACUAAGUAUUUAUGAUAAUACUUACGCAUCUCAAUGUAUUGUUGAUGCAGGUCUCUGAGAGAGGGACUGUUGUGACUGUUGAGAUCAAAGCAGCUGAGAUGCUUGUGGUUCAGCUAAAGUGUGAUCGUGGAAUCAUGGUAAGGAAGAGAGGAUGAUCUAGGAACUCGUUUGGUUUAUUGUUAUGUUUUGGUUAUUGAAACCGGUUAGGGUUGUGUUACGAUUGUUAGUCAUUCUUGGUUUUGUUGGUUGAAUUAUUUAUUUAUUCAUAAAAUAGUAUUUUUGACUUGCGGUUUAAUUGUUGCUUUAUUGGUUGGUUUAAUUAGAUAUUUAUGAAAAUAUUUAAUUAUGUUUAAAAAAAAAUGGGUCGGGUUGUUUCAGGAAUAUUAUAUCAGCCCAAAUGAGGCAAUGAAACCAUCGACAUGUCAUUUAUCUGGAUUAAAAUUUUUGUUUACGGUUUUCAAACGAUGUUGUAGCUUUGAAGCCAUUUAAAUUGUUCAAAUUUUUUGUAU
RNAcentral lists this small RNA (1442 nucleotides) under Arabidopsis thaliana (thale cress). RNAcentral's name for it is "ATSL081780". Lineage: Eukaryota; Viridiplantae; Streptophyta; Magnoliopsida; Brassicales; Brassicaceae. The record is from RNAcentral.